RNAcentral lists this ribosomal RNA (497 nucleotides) under uncultured bacterium. RNAcentral's name for it is "partial 16S ribosomal RNA". It matches the Rfam family "Bacterial small subunit ribosomal RNA", at positions 28 to 507 of the family's 1533-position model. The record is from RNAcentral.
GAUGAACGCUGGCGGCGUGCCUAAUACAUGCAAGUCGAGCGAACAGACGAUGAGCUUGCUCCUCUGACGUUAGCGGCGGACGGGUGAGUAACACGUGGAUAACCUACCUAUAAGACUGGGAUAACUUCGGGAAACCGGAUCUAAUACCGGAUAAUAUAUUGAACCGCAUGGUUCAAUAGUUAAAGACGGUUUUGCUGUCACUUAUAGAUGGAUCCGCGCCGCAUUAGCUAGUUGGUAAGGUAACGGCUUACCAAGGCAACGAUGCGUAGCCGACCUGAGAGGGUGAUCGGCCACACUGGAACUGAGACACGCUCCAGACUCCUACGGGAGGCAGCAGUAGGGAAUCUUCCGCAAUGGGCGAAAGCCUGACGGAGCAACGCCGCGUGAGUGAUGAAGGUCUUCGGAUCGUAAAACUCUGUUAUUAGGGAAGAACAAAUGUGUAAGUAACUAUGCACGUCUUGACGGUACCUAAUCAGAAAGCCCCGGCUAACUACGUG